Molecule: ribosomal RNA, 253 nt
Filed under: uncultured bacterium
Lineage: Bacteria
Description: partial 16S ribosomal RNA
Rfam family: Bacterial small subunit ribosomal RNA
Source: RNAcentral
UACGUAGGGUGCGAGCGUUGUCCGGAAUUAUUGGGCGUAAAGAGCUCGUAGGCGGUCUGUCGCGUCGAAUGUGAAAACCCGGGGCUCAACUCCGGGCUUGCAUUCGAUACGGGCAGGCUAGAGUUCGGUAGGGGAGUCUGGAAUUCCUGGUGUAGCGGUGAAAUGCGCAGAUAUCGGGAGGAACACCAGUAGCGAAGGCGACACUCUGGGCCGGUACUGACGCUGAGGAGCGAAAGCGUGGGGAGCAAACAGG